AAGCGAGAAAAUAAUUCAUCAACUGUGGGGACAGUCGGACUAGCCAAAAUCUGAUCGCGUACUGAGUCAAGAUCAUUAGGAAGUCCAGCAAGAGCAAGAACUAGAAACAGCUUUUGUCGUUGCUCUUGUGCUUUUCAACGCUAGCAGAAACUGGCCUCAACGUCUCAAAUUCCUCCAUAAUUGCCUGCACUUGACCCAAGUAAGUAGACAUAUCCAAUU
RNAcentral lists this long non-coding RNA (219 nucleotides) under Nicotiana benthamiana. RNAcentral describes it as "long non-coding RNA (NBEN_LNC034335)". Lineage: Eukaryota; Viridiplantae; Streptophyta; Magnoliopsida; Solanales; Solanaceae. The record is from RNAcentral.